GGAUCUUGGCGAACAGACUAAGUGGUGUUCUCCUUCAGUGGGAUGGUUAAACCAUUAGGCUGCUAAGUGGGAAGCAGCUGCUGGUGGUCUUGCCGUGAUGAGGGGAGGAACUCCUGAGCGGGCAGGCAAUGCUGAGCAUCUCCACUGCCAAUUUACUUAACCUCGUGAAACAUUUCUUCCUUAAUCUGUCAAGUGGUGGAGAAUAAUAUCUAUCUCACAGUGCUGUUUUGUGGAUUAAAUGCCAAAUACUAAGUCCAGCAAGUGUGAUGCUCAAGCUUGGGCCAUGAUUACCGCAAGAGAUUGAAGACAUUGGCUUUAUGGAAGAUGUGCACUGAACAUGCUCUGGGCACCAGUGGUCCAUUUAAGGGCUUAUUGCCUCCAGGAUACUUCUCUUGUCCACCUGAUGCAAAAUAAUUCCUCUCUAUGACGAUGUUCCAGCUGGAAUGAAGGAAGAAGUGGAUAAGAAAGGAUUCCCUCCCUUGAAGAUAUAACCUAGGAGUUCUGUGCAUCACUUCUGGUCAUUUCUCACUGGCAAGAACUCUUCUUAUGGUCACACAAGAGAGGCUGGCAAAUUUGGCUUUUAUUCUGAGAAACCCUAUGUCCAGCUGAAAAUGAAGGGAUCUGUUACUGUGGGAGAAAAGGAUAACAGAUAGUGGGAACAACUAGCAGCCUCGGCCACAGUCCAUCCCCUUGUUACCCAAACUUCCAUGUUCCAAAUCAUCCCUACACCAAAGGAGACAACUCCAAGAUUCCUUGUAGCUACUGAACCCAUAUCAAAGUCUACGAUCUCUGAGUAAGGCACAGUCCUCUCCAUUAGGUCUGUGUGCAGCUCGUUCUUCAUGGGGCAAUGACUUAAAAAAUGCAAGAUAAAUCAUCUGCCUCUCAGAUAGUCAAUAUACAACGAUGAAGCAGGGUCUGGAAAAUAAUAAAAAAUCCCAUUUGGAUGGAGGCAAAGGUGAAACACAGAACAGCAAAUGCCCCCUAACAAUGGACCAAACCCCAUGGCCCAUCCAGGAUCAUUCCCUGUCUUGGAGGAACUCUUGAGUUCAUCAUCUUUGAUGUCUUCUGGCCUUACCAUUUUGGAAUGUUCUUUCUUGUUCAUUAUCCGUCCUGGCCACAUUUGAGAUUGGCCAUUCAGAGCAGGUUCUCCUUUUGGACUAAAAAGCUUUUGGAACAUGUCAAGUCAAUCCUUUGUCAAACACCCAUAGUCAGCUCUUUUGUUUAGAAGAAAGAUUUUACACCUGAAGGGUCUGUUUUGAAUUUGCUUCUGUGCUUUGCUCAUUACUCUGUCUUUCAAGUUAGUGGCAGCUAACUAGUUGCACCUAAAACAAAGACUUCAUUCAUCUAAUCAUUUCCUUGAGGCUGGCUCCAAUUUUCUGGCAAAAAUAUCUUUUAAAAGAAGGUGUUGAAUAAAUUUGGAGGCCUGGUUUUUAUCUCCUGCUAAGUCUGGCACUGCAGCGCUCUCACUACUAAUAGCUGUAUUUUUGGGGUAUAGAAGCAAUUUUCAACUUUGAAAAACCCCAAACAAAUAAGCUCCUGGUCAAUUUAGAUUGUUAACCACAGGCAGAGUGUGUUGCAAUGCUAUAUUUUCUUUCAUUUCUAUUAACACACUGGCCAUCUUUAUUUUGGAUUUAUAUCUCUUCUUUAGGAUUUUGCUGAAAGCCACAAGAAGUGGUAACUCAGACCAACAUACUAUAUAUAUUAUAUAUGUAUUCCUCUAGCACUAUAGCCUCAUUGAAUGUGUGUUCUAUCUCCCAAAGCAGUGCCUCGCUAUAUUGCCAAAUGUUUAGUCUCUGGAUAACAAGGAUUACUAAAUUUCCAACUUGCAAUAUUUUGAGUCAACACUGCCCAUCACCCAGACAGUAUUCUGAAGUCACAUGGAUGUUUGUCUCUGUUAUGUUCAGCAUUCCACUUUAAGGUACCAAAAUUAGCCAAAGUACCUCCUUUUGCUGAUGAGAAAGAAGCUUUAAAACAUACAGCAGUUGGCAAAAAUAAAGCAGAGGGAGCUCCAGGAUGGAUUCUGACUCUCAUUUCCUGCCCAGGACAGGGGGUGGAAAAAAUGACAAAAAUCCAGCUGUGCCUCUCUUUCACAUCCAGAAUUGUGAAUUGUAGAAUUCAUUUAUUCUGUCCAGCACCAACUGGGCUGAAUCUUGUGAAAGAGAUCUCCUUCUCCUGAGGGAUGAAUCAAACCUGCCAAUAACUAUGCCUCAUCCAGGACACAAGAGCUUGACAAAUAUUUUUUUCGGCAAAUGUGUUUUCUUAGCAGGAAGCCGGUGAACAAUCAAGUGUCUCUUUUACUGGCUGUGUAGCUCAGCUGGAUCCUAGUAGCUCUGGUCUCUGCCCAAAUGUUUUUAGGACUUCCCUUCAGAAGCUGGCAGCACAGGGACCACCCACCUCUCUCAGUCAAGGUUAUUGGUCCUUUGGAAGCAGCAAUGUAACCACUUAGGUACAGAAACUAAAAUAACAAUUGAAUGUUCAUACUUCUGGUCCCAUUUGAGCCACACACCGCCUUGUGAGCUAAGAAUGAUUAUUGCUCUUUUGUAAACGAAUGCACUGAGGGUUAAAAAAGGGGAGGGAAAUUUUGUUGGUUUACACAGCUAGAAAGAGACCUUCCCUGACUACCUUCGUUAUAUAUAACCUGCUGUCCCCCGAAAGUCACCAUCAACAUUAGUCUAUUUUCUUAACACCACUGAUCACAAGGUGUAAUUACUGCCAUCUUUCUUUCCUGAUUGUGAGACCAGACUCCAAUCCGGUCCUCAUCUAGUUCUCAUGCGUUGUGCAGUCUCCUCCCACUGGAGACCCAUGCUGGUCCCUGUGACUAAUAGCACGUGGAAGAAACAAUGACAAAUGACUCUCAAGGUUACAUCAUAAAGGACACAACUCUGCCCCGCCUUAGGGAAUCCAGCAGCCUUGCCAGAGGGGUACUUAAGCACCCCAGGGAGAGGCCCACCUGAAGAGUAACUGGGGCCUCCUACAAACAACCAGCAGGAACUUGCCAGCUUGGCGAAUGGCCCACCUUGGAUGUGGACCCAUCAACCCAGUGAAGCCUUCAGAUGACUGCAGCCCGGAUGACUCUAACUGCAAUUUCACCAGAGACCUUUAGCCAGAACUGCCCAGUCACACUUCUCCUGAGUGCCUGGCCCACAUGGGAUCCCAUUUGAGAUGUUGGCAUUGAAAAUAUGAGACCUAAUAAAUGUUUAUCGUGGUUUGAAGCAAUUUAUGAUGCAGCAAUAGAUACCGAAGACACUCUUCUGUUUCCCCUGGCAGACUGUAAACUUCAUGAGGGCAGGGCCCAUAUCUCUCUGCUUCACUGCUCUCACACCUGAGAUGAUGUCAAGCACACAGCAGAAACUUAAUACACAGUUAGUGACUAAUGGAUCACGGCAAGUGGUAGUGAGAAGAUUAAAAUCUUCAUGCCCUCUCCUCCCUUCCAGCCCUUUCCCACAGCACUCUGUCGGCCUCCCUUUCCUCUCGGAUUUGAGUCUCACAGCCACCUGGGGGGUGGGCUUUUUUUCCUGUUGCCUACACAGCAGUUCAUAGUUAAUUAAACCUUUGUAUAAACAGAACAAGGGAGGAUGUAAAAGUAAUGAGCUGACAGCCCAGUGUGUAUUAUGUGGGGCUGAGAGGAGAAUUUAAUUUAGAGAAGAAUUAUGCACAGGCGGAAGAGCAGUCCAUUAAAACAAACCAACUGUCUGGAAAGAGAUAAAACAAACACGGAUUCUGCAUCCUGUGAAAUAAAUAGUGAAGCUGCACAUUCAGGGCACUCUGGGAUCCUCAGAGAUGCGAUGCAUGAUGAGUGGGAAAAGAAAA
Sus scrofa (pig) is the source of this 3810-nucleotide non-coding RNA. The record is from RefSeq and is a predicted model, not a curated record. NCBI's taxonomy places the organism in Eukaryota, Metazoa, Chordata, Mammalia, Artiodactyla, Suidae.